GAUGAACGCUGGCGGCGUGCUUAACACAUGCAAGUCGAACGGAAAGGCCCAAGCUUACUUGGGUACUCGAGUGGCGAACGGGUGAGUAACACGUGGGUGAUCUGCCCUGCACUUCGGGAUAAGCCUGGGAAACUGGGUCUAAUACCGGAUAGGACCACUUCUUGGAUGUUGUGGUGGAAAGUUUUUUCGGUGUGGGAUGAGCUCGCGGCCUAUCAGCUUGUUGGUGGGGUAAUGGCCUACCAAGGCGUCGACGGGUAGCCGGCCUGAGAGGGUGUACGGCCACAUUGGGACUGAGAUACGGCCCAGACGCCUACGGGAGGCAGCAGGGGGGAAUAUUGCACAAUGGGCGCAAGCCGGAUGCAGCGACGCCGCGGGGGGGAUGACGGCCUUCGGGUUGUAAACUCCUUUCGCUAGGGACGAAGCGUUUUGUGACGGUACCUGGAGAAGAAGCACCGGCUAACUACGUG
Molecule: ribosomal RNA, 467 nt
Filed under: uncultured bacterium
Lineage: Bacteria
Description: partial 16S ribosomal RNA
Rfam family: Bacterial small subunit ribosomal RNA
Source: RNAcentral